This is a long non-coding RNA of Chinchilla lanigera (long-tailed chinchilla), 304 nucleotides long. RefSeq lists it as uncharacterized. The record is from RefSeq and is a predicted model, not a curated record. Lineage: Eukaryota; Metazoa; Chordata; Mammalia; Rodentia; Chinchillidae. The transcript is spliced from 3 exons.
ACCCAGCAGUGACCCUGGAGGAACAAAGAUAGGCUGACCCAAGCUGAGCCUGCCUGCUGCCCACCAUUUUUCUACACUGAGGCCUCAUUGCCAAGACAACAGACCCUUCAGUUCAUCUGUAAACUGCACUAAGAGGGAAGAAGAAGGUGGUGCAGUGGUGACACCUGACAAACACUACCUCAGCCUGGUGGUAAAGACUGGGAUUAUUACGGAGUUUGCAGAAGACAGCUGAUGUUGACCUUGACCAUGCGUGCUCCCAAGAGCCUCCACAGCCCAGAUAUAACACCACACUUUGCCCUUUGAU